Molecule: ribosomal RNA, 601 nt
Filed under: Cyberlindnera sp. 3 067
Lineage: Eukaryota; Fungi; Ascomycota; Saccharomycetes; Phaffomycetales; Wickerhamomycetaceae
Description: eukaryotic LSU rRNA
Rfam family: Eukaryotic large subunit ribosomal RNA
Source: RNAcentral
UAAGCGGAGGAAAAGAAACCAACAGGGAUUGCCUCAGUAACGGCGAGUGAAGCGGCAAAAGCUCAAAUUUGAAAUCUGGUACCUUCGGUGCCCGAGUUGUAAUUUGAAGAUAGUUUUCUGGUGCUGGCCCUUGUCUAUGUUCCUUGGAACAGGACGUCACAGAGGGUGAGAAUCCCGUCUGGCGGGGUGUCCAGUGCUUUGUAGAUUUCUAUCGACGAGUCGAGUUGUUUGGGAAUGCAGCUCUAAGUGGGUGGUAAAUUCCAUCUAAAGCUAAAUAUUGGCGAGAGACCGAUAGCGAACAAGUACAGUGAUGGAAAGAUGAAAAGAACUUUGAAAAGAGAGUGAAAAAGUACGUGAAAUUGUUGAAAGGGAAGGGUAUUAGAUCAGACUUGGUGUUUUGUGAUUAUCUUCCCUUCUUGGGUUGUGCACUCGCAUUUCACUGGGCCAGCAUCGGUUCGGAUGGCAAGAUAAUGACAUUGGAACGUGGCACUACCUUCGGGUGGUGUGUUAUAGCCCUUGUUGAUGUUGCCUGUCUGGACCGAGGACUGCGGCUUCUGCCUAGGAUGCUGGCGUAAUGAUCUAACACCGCCCGUCUUGAAAC